Molecule: ribosomal RNA, 429 nt
Filed under: Gemmatimonadota bacterium
Lineage: Bacteria; Pseudomonadati; Gemmatimonadota
Description: Gemmatimonadetes bacterium partial 16S ribosomal RNA
Rfam family: Bacterial small subunit ribosomal RNA
Source: RNAcentral
UAGGGAAUCUUCGGCAAUGGACGAAAGUCUGACCGAGCAACGCCGCGUGAGUGAAGAAGGGUUUCGGAUCGUAAAACUCUGUUGUUAGAGAAGAACAAGGACGUUAGUAACUGAACGUCCCCUGACGGUAUCUAACCAGAAAGCCACGGCUAACUACGUGCCAGCAGCCGCGGUAAUACGUAGGUGGCAAGCGUUGUCCGGAUUUAUUGGGCGUAAAGCGAGCGCAGGCGGUUUCUUAAGUCUGAUGUGAAAGCCCCCGGCUCAACCGGGGAGGGUCAUUAGAAACUGGGCUACUUGAGUGCAGAAGAGGAGAGUGGAAUUCCAUGUGUAGCGGUGAAAUGCGUAAAUAUAUGGAGGAACACCAGUGGCGAAGGCGGCUCUCUGGUCUAUAACUGACGCUGAGGCUCGAAAGCGUGGUGAGCAAACAGG